UUAAACUCGAGAGUGUAAACGGGUCUUGUAAAAGAUUUCGGGCCACUAGACACGAGGUUUGGGCUUGUGGGCCUUGGACCCAAGCCUAAGCCCACUUAAAACAGCAUUUAACCUAACUAUAAAUAACUUAGUAACCCUAACCCUUGUCAUUUUGUUCGGCCGCUACCUAUCAAAUUCCCUGAUAUUGUGAGUCUACAACCUUAUCUUCAAGAAACACUAAACACAGACAAAACAUCAUCAUCUUCACUCUCCUUCAAAACCUCAGAACUACAACAUCAGCUACACACCUCUCAACCCCACUCUCUCCACCCUCAAUGGCCGACCACCACCACCGUCUGGUGGUGGUGCUACGAUGAAACGAGAAGACAGAACGGGAGAGAGAGAGCAACGACUAAUGUCCGUCGGUGGAUCGAGUUUUCUGGCGACAAAUCCGCCGUCGGUGGCGGACCCGCGGCGGCGACGAUGGUGUUUUUGGUCCGACGGGUUUCAUGGUUGACGGUAGCCGUGGUGGUUAUCGACGGUGUAGAUGAUGAACGAUGAUGAUGGGGUAGCCGCUGAUGAGGAUGGCACGGAGGUGAGGCUCCGGUGGGUUUCACGGCAGCCGUCUCCACCCGACAGAAACUCCGGUUUCGGGUUUAGUUGGUUCAAGAUCGGUUCGGUCAACAAAAAUCAACUUGUGGUUUGGCUCAUAUUAUGGUUCGGAUCAGUUUCGGGUGGUUCGGGUUCGCGACACGUCAGUCAACGAAAGUCAACUGGUCGAACCCGAGUCAACUCGAGUCAACACAGUUAAAGCGGGUUAACUCAGUGCUCGGUUCACACGGUUCGCAUUGGUCUCCGGACAGAUUUGUUCGGGUUCAGAUUUAAGCAUCGAGCAUCGGUCAACCUCAGUCAACACGGUCACUAGUCAACACGGGUCAGACCCGAUCAACA
Helianthus annuus (common sunflower) is the source of this 930-nucleotide long non-coding RNA. RefSeq lists it as uncharacterized. Lineage: Eukaryota; Viridiplantae; Streptophyta; Magnoliopsida; Asterales; Asteraceae. The record is from RefSeq and is a predicted model, not a curated record. The transcript is spliced from 3 exons.